UGCUGCCUUGGCCAAGCUCUGCCAGCUGAGUGACCUUGGACAAGAGACAUGAGCUUUCUUAGCCUUGGCUUCCUUAUCUGUAAAGUAGGGGUGAUGCUAGUACCAUCUUCACAGGCCAUCUGGCCUGAGAGGGAGAACCUGGCACACCACGCAUAUCCAAUUAAGCAGAAGAAGGUGCCUGACUGCAUGAGUGUCAUCCCAUUGAAUCUUCUGGGAGGUCCUACAAGGUCGAAUGCAUGUCACACAAAGUUAACCAUUUUAAGGUGAACAGUUUCAGGGGCAUUGAAAAUGUCGUGCAGCCACCACCUCUGUCUCGUUCCAAAACAUUUUCAUCACUGCAAAGUAAAACCUGGACCCACUGAGCAGUUCCUCCUCACUCCCCCAUCCCUACCCCUACCAAUCUACUUUCUGUGUCUAUGGAUUCACUGAUUCUAGAUACUUCAUAUAAACGGAGUCAUAAAAUA
This is a long non-coding RNA of Gorilla gorilla gorilla (western lowland gorilla), 464 nucleotides long. RefSeq lists it as uncharacterized. The transcript is spliced from 2 exons. The record is from RefSeq and is a predicted model, not a curated record. Lineage: Eukaryota; Metazoa; Chordata; Mammalia; Primates; Hominidae.